Molecule: transfer-messenger RNA, 358 nt
Filed under: Fimbriimonadaceae
Lineage: Bacteria; Bacillati; Armatimonadota; Fimbriimonadia; Fimbriimonadales
Also listed under: 1 other name
Description: JAFDWR01 sp018268355 Standard tmRNA
Rfam family: transfer-messenger RNA
About the family: Bacterial tmRNA, also known as 10Sa RNA or SsrA, is named for its dual tRNA and mRNA-like properties. Its role is to liberate the mRNA from a stalled ribosome.
Source: RNAcentral
GGGGGCGUCAGGUUUCGACAGAGCUGAAGCGACUCCGAGUUGCGAGCCGAGGUUGGUCGGUUGGCCUCGUAAAAAGCCGUCCAGAAAGCAGUUGCGAACAACAACUACGCUUACGCAGCCUAAUUGAGCCGCGUCGUCCGUCGUUCUCUAGCCGGUUGGGAACGGGUCGGGCGUCAAAAAAUCCGGAUCGAUGGGAAAGCUUCUGUUCGUAGCUGACUCGUCUAAAUAAAUCGAACUGGACGCCCGCCUAGGCGGCCUCGGCAGAGGGCGGCGUCGAGAUAAAGUACAGAGGAGACGCUCGUGGUGGCUCGUGGGAAGGCAGCUUUGGAAGGGAGUUCGAUUCUCCCCGCCUCCACCA